This 637-nucleotide long non-coding RNA is filed under the name Homo sapiens (human). RNAcentral describes it as "HSALNT0321068". The record is from RNAcentral. Lineage: Eukaryota; Metazoa; Chordata; Mammalia; Primates; Hominidae.
GAGAGACCUAGGGGGAAGUAAUUGAAUCACGCGGGACGGUCUUUGGUAUGCUAUUCUCGUGACAGUGAAUAAGUCUCACGAGAUCUGAUGGGUUUAUCAGGGGUUUUCGCUUUUGCUUCUUCCUCAUUUUCUCUUGCCGCUGCCAUGUAAGAAGUGCCUUUUUCCCCCCGCCCCCACCAUGAUUCUGAGGCGUCCCCAGCCAUGUGGAACUGCGCGGUGGCUCACACCUGUAAUCCUAGCACUUUGGGAGGCCGAGGCGGGUGGAUCACCUGAGGUCAGGAGUUCGAGACCAGCCCGACCAACAUGGAGAAACCCCGUCUCUACUAAAAAUACAAAAUUAGCCGGGUGUGGAGGCGCAUGCCUGUAAUCCCAGUUACUCGGGAGGCUGAGGCAGGAGAAUCGCUUGAACCCAGGAGGCAGAAGUUGCGGUGAGCCGAAAUCGCACCAUUGCACUCCAGCCUGGGCGACAAGAGCGAAAACUCCAUCUCAAAAAAAAAAAAAAGAAAUGAUUUUAUUUAGCAUGUUUGCAUCCAUGUUCACAAAUAAAAUCGGCCUUUAUUUUUCUUUUCUCAUUUUGUCCUUGUUGGAUUUUUGUAUCAGGAUUUUGCUAGACUUAUAAAAUGAUGUGGGAAGUUUU